RNAcentral lists this non-coding RNA (185 nucleotides) under Desulfococcus multivorans. Lineage: Bacteria; Pseudomonadati; Thermodesulfobacteriota; Desulfobacteria; Desulfobacterales; Desulfococcaceae. RNAcentral also lists the same sequence under 1 other name. The record is from RNAcentral.
UAUUUGAAUAUCGUUCAAGGUGCCGCAGUGCUUAAAAUGGGAAUCCCGUGGAAGUCGGGAGUGGUCCCGCCGCUGUAAUCGGGGACAAAAUUCGCGAAUACCACUGUUUGUGAAACACAAAUGGGAAGGUGCGAAUAGUAGGACGAUCCGAAAACCAGAAGACCUGCCUUGGACACGCCUGUCCU